This 425-nucleotide ribosomal RNA is filed under the name uncultured bacterium. RNAcentral describes it as "bacterial SSU rRNA". It matches the Rfam family "Bacterial small subunit ribosomal RNA", at positions 28 to 436 of the family's 1533-position model. The record is from RNAcentral.
GAUGAACGCUGGCGGCGUGCUUAACACAUGCAAGUCGAACGGGGAUUAUUUCAUUGAAGCUUCGGCAGAUUUGGCUUAAUCCUAGUGGCGGACGGGUGAGUAACGCGUGGGUAACCUGCCUUGUACAGGGGGAUAACAGUCAGAAAUGACUGCUAAUACCGCAUAAGCGCACAGGACCGCAUGGUCCGGUGUGAAAAACUCCGGUGGUAUAAGAUGGACCCGCGUUGGAUUAGCUUGUUGGCAGGGUAACGGCCUACCAAGGCGACGAUCCAUAGCCGGCCUGAGAGGGUGAACGGCCACAUUGGGACUGAGACACGGCCCAGACUCCUACGGGAGGCAGCAGUGGGGAAUAUUGCACAAUGGGGGAAACCCUGAUGCAGCGACGCCGCGUGAAGGAAGAAGUAUCUCGGUAUGUAAACUUCUAU